CCUACGGGAGGCAGCAGUGAGGAAUAUUGGUCAAUGGACGAGAGUCUGAACCAGCCAAGUAGCGUGAAGGAUGACUGCCCUAUGGGUUGUAAACUUCUUUUAUAUGGGAAUAAAAUGUUCCACGUGUGGGAUUUUGUAUGUACCAUAUGAAUAAGGAUCGGCUAACUCCGUGCCAGCAGCCGCGGUAAUACGGAGGAUCCGGGCGUUAUCCGGAUUUAUUGGGUUUAAAGGGAGCGUAGGUGGAUUGUUAAGUCAGUUGUGAAAGUUUGCGGCGCAACCGUAAAAUUGCAGUUGAAACUGGCAGUCUUGAGUACAGUAGAGGUGGGCGGAAUUCGUGGUGUAGCGGUGAAAUGCUUAGAUAUCACGAAGAACUCCGAUUGCGAAGGCAGUUCACUGGACUGCAACUGACACUGAGGCUCGAAAGUGUGGGUAUCAAACAGGAUUAGAUACCCGGGUAGUC
This 460-nucleotide ribosomal RNA is filed under the name uncultured bacterium. RNAcentral describes it as "partial 16S ribosomal RNA". It matches the Rfam family "Bacterial small subunit ribosomal RNA", at positions 338 to 795 of the family's 1533-position model. The record is from RNAcentral.